UAUGUGAUCGUCUCUCGCAUAUCAAUAAGCGGAGGAAAAGAAACUAACAAGGAUUCCCCUAGUAACGGCGAGUGAAGCGGGAAGAGCUCAAAUUUGAAAUCUUAAAGGGUUUCCCUUUACGAAUUGUAGUUUAAAGAAGUGUUUUCUGUUGAGGUUUUGGUAAAAGUUCUUUGGAAUAGGACAUCAUAGAGGGUGAGAAUCCCGUAUUUGACCUUUACUUUCAACUUUGUGAUACACUUUCAAAGAGUCGGAUUGUUUGGGAAUGCAGUCCAAAAUGGGUGGUAAAUUUCAUCUAAAGCUAAAUAUUGGCGAGAGACCGAUAGCGAACAAGUACCGUGAGGGAAAGAUGAAAAGAACUUUGAAAAGAGAGUUAAACAGUACGUGAAAUUGACAAAAGGGAAGCGUUUGACACCAGUGUUGUUUUUCUGAAAAUCAAUUAAAGAACUGUUUAUGCUAAGCUGUUUAGACUUUAUCAGCUAUCUGUUUAGUUUUGAGCUUUUCUUUAAUGCACUUUUCAGUUAACAAGUCAACAUCAAUUUCUUUUGCUGUAAAAAAGCUUGAGGAAGGUGGCUUGAGAUUCGUCUUAAGUGUUUAUAGCCUCUUGCCUAUGCAGUCGGAGAGAUUGAGGUCUGCAGCGUAGAUCCUUCGGGGCUAAAUGCAUUUGUGCUAAGUUAUAGCAUUUUAUAGACAACUUGUUGACUAUGAUUUGUCUUGUAGGCUUACUCGCUUAUGUUAUUUUACCUACGCUUAGGAUGUUGAAGACUCUACAGAGAUA
Molecule: ribosomal RNA, 775 nt
Filed under: uncultured Neocallimastigales
Lineage: Eukaryota; Fungi; Neocallimastigomycota; Neocallimastigomycetes; Neocallimastigales
Description: partial large subunit ribosomal RNA
Rfam family: Eukaryotic large subunit ribosomal RNA
Source: RNAcentral